UACGUAGGAGGCAAGCGUUGUCCGGAAUCAUUGGGCGUAAAGGGCGCGUAGGUGGCCCGGUCAGUUCGUGGUGAAAGCGCGGGGCUCAACCCUGCGUCGGCCAUGAAUACUGCCGCGGCUGGAGCACUGUAGAGGCAGGCGGAAUUCCGGGUGUAGCGGUGGAAUGCGUAGAGAUCCGGAAGAACACCGGUGGCGAAGGCGGCCUGCUGGGCAGUUGCUGACACUGAGGCGCGACAGCGUGGGGAGCAAACAGG
RNAcentral lists this ribosomal RNA (254 nucleotides) under uncultured bacterium. RNAcentral's name for it is "partial 16S ribosomal RNA". It matches the Rfam family "Bacterial small subunit ribosomal RNA", at positions 524 to 776 of the family's 1533-position model. The record is from RNAcentral.